Molecule: transfer RNA, 75 nt
Organism: Theileria orientalis strain Shintoku
Lineage: Eukaryota; Apicomplexa; Aconoidasida; Piroplasmida; Theileriidae
Rfam family: tRNA
About the family: Transfer RNA (tRNA) molecules are approximately 80 nucleotides in length. Their secondary structure includes four short double-helical elements and three loops (D, anti-codon, and T loops).
Source: Rfam
AGAAAGGUAUCUUAAACGGUAAAGAGCCAAAUUGCUAAUUUAGGUAUGUUAAGGGUUCAAGUCCCUUUCUUUCUU